AGCAGCCGCGGUAAUUCCAGCUCCAAUAGCGUAUAUUAAAGUUGUUGCAGUUAAAAAGCUCGUAGUUGAAUUUCGGGAUCAAUUAAUCGGUCGUGCCUCUGGUACGCACUGGUUUUAUUGGUUUCUCCCUUCUGACGAACCAGGAUGUCAUUAAUUUGGUGUCUUGGAGAAUCAGGACUGUUACUUUGAAAAAUUGAGUGUUUAAAGCAGGCUAACGCUUGAAUACAUUAGCAUGGAAUAAUGAAAUAGGACGUUUGAUCCUAUUUUGUGGUUUCUAGGAUCGACGUAAUGAUUAAUAGGGAUAGUUGGGGCAUUAGUAUUCAAUUGUCAGAGG
RNAcentral lists this ribosomal RNA (334 nucleotides) under uncultured Glomus. RNAcentral's name for it is "SSU rRNA". It matches the Rfam family "Eukaryotic small subunit ribosomal RNA", at positions 569 to 911 of the family's 1831-position model. Lineage: Eukaryota; Fungi; Glomeromycota; Glomeromycetes; Glomerales; Glomeraceae. The record is from RNAcentral.